RNAcentral lists this ribosomal RNA (484 nucleotides) under uncultured bacterium. Its description in RNAcentral is "bacterial SSU rRNA". It matches the Rfam family "Bacterial small subunit ribosomal RNA", at positions 27 to 507 of the family's 1533-position model. The record is from RNAcentral.
CGAUUGAACGCUGGCGGCAUGCCUUACACAUGCAAGUCGAACGGUAACGGGCCUUCGGGUGCCGACGAGUGGCGAACGGGUGAGUAAUGUAUCGGAACGUACCUUUCAGUGGGGGAUAACGUAGCGAAAGUUACGCUAAUACCGCAUAUUCUGUGAGCAGGAAAGCAGGGGAUCGCAAGACCUCGCGCUUCCGGAGCGGCCGAUGUCGGAUUAGCUAGUUGGCGGGGUAAAGGCCCACCAAGGCAACGAUCCGUAGCGGGUCUGAGAGGAUGAUCCGCCACACUGGGACUGAGACACGGCCCAGACUCCUACGGGAGGCAGCAGUGGGGAAUUUUGGACAAUGGGCGCAAGCCUGAUCCAGCCAUGCCGCGUGAGUGAAGAAGGCCUUCGGGUUGUAAAGCUCUUUCGGCGGGGAAGAAAUCGCAUCUCCUAAUACGGGGUGUGGAUGACGGUACCCGAAUAAGAAGCACCGGCUAACUACGUG